UAUUGAGACCAUCACGUUUUCUUUAGACUGCUAUGUGAAUUACUCUCAUGAGAAUUGUAGUGCCAAACUAGUUCGUCUCUACGAGCUUGUAAGGGAAUUGAAGAGGAAUCUUUUUAAUAAUAUCUAUAUCGCUCAGGUCUACCUUACCUUCUAACAUCUCAACCUUCCAAAUAAAUUUAUCUUUAUCAAUUAGAUCAGUCACCAAAAGCUCAUCAUCAAUAUUACUAUGGAACGACAACAAUUUAAG
Molecule: long non-coding RNA, 247 nt
Filed under: Panax ginseng (ginseng)
Lineage: Eukaryota; Viridiplantae; Streptophyta; Magnoliopsida; Apiales; Araliaceae
Description: long non-coding RNA (PGIN_LNC013212)
Source: RNAcentral